UACAGAGGGGGCAAGCGUUGUUCGGAAUUACUGGGCGUAAAGGGCGCGUAGGCGGCCCGCUAAGUCGAACGUGAAAUCCCCAGGCUCAACCUGGGAACUGCGUCCGAUACUGGCAGGCUUGAAUCCGGGAGAGGGAUGCGGAAUUCCAGGUGUAGCGGUGAAAUGCGUAGAUAUCAGUCGGAACACCAGUGGCGAAGGCGGCUUCUUGGGCCAUUUCUGACGCUGAGGCGCGAAAGCUAGGGGAGCGAACGGG
This 253-nucleotide ribosomal RNA is filed under the name uncultured bacterium. Its description in RNAcentral is "partial 16S ribosomal RNA". It matches the Rfam family "Bacterial small subunit ribosomal RNA", at positions 524 to 776 of the family's 1533-position model. The record is from RNAcentral.